Nerophis ophidion (straightnose pipefish) is the source of this 922-nucleotide long non-coding RNA. RefSeq lists it as uncharacterized. NCBI's taxonomy places the organism in Eukaryota, Metazoa, Chordata, Actinopteri, Syngnathiformes, Syngnathidae. The record is from RefSeq and is a predicted model, not a curated record. The transcript has 3 exons.
AGGGGAACUUGAGGCUGUACCUGAAGCUGUAUGCCUGAGCCUGGGCAUCCACAUCCAUGGAGCCGGGCGAGGACUCGUCAGGCCUGAGAGGACGACAGCAAAGUUGGCUGCUGCUAUAAAGGAUGGGGGCAAUUUUCCGCGAGAGGCUGGAAUAAUGAAGGGAAAGAAAAAUGGCACAUGAACGCUCGGGAAAAGCAACAAACAACAAAGUAACUCAAAUCUGCAGUGUUAGAAAAAAAGGAGUGCUGCAGUCACUCAACAUUUUGCAGCAGAAGAAAAGAUGUUGAGGACCUGCUCAACCUGUAAGUACAUUACUGUUUACUGUAUGCCUGUAAGUAGAGGUGGGGAAGUAAUCGAUGCAUCGCAAUUUGGACGAUUACAAAAUCAAUUCGUAAACGUCAAUAAUUGAUAAUCGAUUUAUUUUUUAUAAAAAGAAUUAUGCAGACAGUUCUAAAAUGUGGCUAACUGCAGCGAGCUACUUCACUGAGAGAUCUGACUAGAUCCUCUAAUACAGGACUUAACGUUCCAGUUUUGCACACAUUUCCAUGAAUUUAAUAAAUAAUACAUGUGAUGGGAAUUUCUGAUUACAAAUUCUCUGUUUUUAAAAGUUCCAAGUGAUAAACGCUUAUUUACUGAAACGAGAAGAAAUGUAAAACUGAAUCCAAAUACAUAAAUUAAAUACGCAUCAGUAAUGGAUUUUUUCAUCGUAAUCGUACUUGAAACGUGAGAUGGCCAAAGAUUCCAGCCUCCACCUGCAAGUGUUUUUUACUAUGUAAAACUGAGUUUAAAUUAUCGAUUGUAGAGCAGGGGUGGCCUUUUGUGACUCACAGCUCGAGUUUUGGAAUUGUCAAUAUUAAAAUCCAACAAAACAAAAUAAAUCAUAAAAGGAAAAAGAGCAAAAAGACACAAUGUCACGAGAAAA